CAGUGAAAUUGAACUCGCUGUGAAGAUGCAGUGUACCCGCGGCAAGACGGAAAGACCCCGUGAACCUUUACUAUAGCUUGACACUGAACAUUGAGCCUUGAUGUGUAGGAUAGGUGGGAGGCUUUGAAGUGUGGACGCCAGUCUGCAUGGAGCCGACCUUGAAAUACCACCCUUUAAUGUUUGAUGUUCUAACGUGGACCCGUGAUCCGGGUUGCGGACAGUGUCUGGUGGGUAGUUUGACUGGGGCGGUCUCCUCCUAAAGAGUAACGGAGGAGCACGAAGGUUGGCUAAUCCUGGUCGGACAUCAGGAGGUUAGUGCAAUGGCAUAAGCCAGCUUGACUGCGAGCGUGACGGCGCGAGCAGGUGCGAAAGCAGGUCAUAGUGAUCCGGUGGUUCUGAAUGGAAGGGCCAUCGCUCAACGGAUAAAAGGUACUCCGGGGAUAACAGGCUGAUACCGCCCAAGAGUUCAUAUCGACGGCGGUGUUUGGCACCUCGAUGUCGGCUCAUCACAUCCUGGGGCUGAAGUAGGUCCCAAGGGUAUGGCUGUUCGCCAUUUAAAGUGGUACGCGAGCUGGGUUUAGAACGUCGUGAGACAGUUCGGUCCCUAUCUGCCGUGGGCGCUGGAGAACUGAGGGGGGCUGCUCCUAGUACGAGAGGACCGGAGUGGACGCAUCACUGGUGUUCGGGUUGUCAUGCCAAUGGCACUGCCCGGUAGCUAAAUGCGGAAGAGAUAAGUGCUGAAAGCAUCUAAGCACGAAACUUGCCC
RNAcentral lists this ribosomal RNA (766 nucleotides) under Shigella flexneri. Its description in RNAcentral is "partial 23S ribosomal RNA". It matches the Rfam family "Bacterial large subunit ribosomal RNA", at positions 2034 to 2799 of the family's 2925-position model. Lineage: Bacteria; Pseudomonadati; Pseudomonadota; Gammaproteobacteria; Enterobacterales; Enterobacteriaceae. The record is from RNAcentral.